This 353-nucleotide ribosomal RNA is filed under the name uncultured Methanosaeta sp. RNAcentral's name for it is "bacterial SSU rRNA". It matches the Rfam family "Archaeal small subunit ribosomal RNA", at positions 968 to 1320 of the family's 1478-position model. The record is from RNAcentral. Lineage: Archaea; Methanobacteriati; Methanobacteriota; Methanomicrobia; Methanotrichales; Methanotrichaceae.
UUGCCGGAUUAGCUGAGAGGUGGUGCAUGGCCGUCGUCAGUUCGUACUGUGAAGCAUCCUGUUAAGUCAGGCAACGAGCGAGACCCACGCCCACAGUUGCCAGCGUACUCUCCGGAGUGACGGGUACACUGUGGGGACCGCCGCUGCUAAAGCGGAGGAAGGAAUGGGCAACGGUAGGUCAGUAUGCCCCGAAUAUCCCGGGCUACACGCGAGCUACAAUGGUUGGUACAAUGGGUAUCUACCCCGAAAGGGGAUGGAAAUCUCCUAAAGCCAAUCUUAGUUCGGAUUGAGGGCUGCAACUCGCCCUCAUGAAGCUGGAAUCCGUAGUAAUCGCGUUUCAACAGAACGCGGUG